GGCAUGAGCUUUUAAUCCUGGGCCACAACAGGCCCUGACACUUCCUCUGUUGCUCUCUUGAAACCUUUACAAAAGGAAGCCUACCUAGCCAGCAUCCAACACUGACUGCCAGACAUGUAAGUGAGACCAUCUUGGAUUUCCCCGCCCAGAUGACCAUCUGGCUGAAAAAGUGAAAUCAAGUGAAGCCAGAAGAGGAGCUGCCCAGCAACCCACAGAAUGGCCUCCAAAGAAGUCUACAAAUUCCAUCAGUCAGUAAUGGCUUGGAGUUCCAAAGCUUAUGACUCAAAGGAUACGUGGCUUCUGAUGGCCCUGCUGGGGAGACCAUGUGGAGAGAUGGCAUAGAGCCAGGGAUUCACGUUCCAGGAGCCCUGACUGUCUCAGCUCAGGGAAUCGAAUCUCCUUGUGCUCCAGACCCUAUGAGAGGACGCCAUCCCCUGCUACCGUCUGACUGCAACCUCGGGAGACACCCCAAGCCACAACUGAGCAGCCAAGCCACUCUCAUAUUCUUGCCCCAUAGACAAUGGGGAGAUAAAAACCUGACUGUUGUCAAUUUUAGUCAGUACAUUUUAGGGCAAUUUGAUGCCCUAGCAAUAGACUAGUAUAUUUAUCCAUUGCUGCGUCUUCUUCUGCUUAGAUUAUGAUGUAUGUUUUUUAGCUCCAACUAGUAUCUAAACUUGUCAUGG
This 683-nucleotide long non-coding RNA is filed under the name Pongo abelii (Sumatran orangutan). RNAcentral's name for it is "lincRNA". The record is from RNAcentral. Lineage: Eukaryota; Metazoa; Chordata; Mammalia; Primates; Hominidae.